GCGGGCGGUUCAUCACUGUUACCAGUUUUGAAUUUUAUCCUCCGAGUACCGAGGAAGCGUUAUUCAAGUUAUGGCCUAGCGUCAGUGUGGGGACGUGCUCCUCGUUCAUUCUAAUUUUCCUUAGAGGAACUUUUGUUACUUCUGUUACCAGAAGAACACCUACUUGCCAAUAUUAAAAAUGCCGGCGGUUUGUAUCGUCUUGCCAGACCUCGUUUACUGUUUUUUCCCUGCGGCCG
Molecule: long non-coding RNA, 236 nt
Filed under: Mytilus galloprovincialis (Mediterranean mussel)
Lineage: Eukaryota; Metazoa; Mollusca; Bivalvia; Mytilida; Mytilidae
Source: RNAcentral